Molecule: ribosomal RNA, 253 nt
Filed under: uncultured bacterium
Lineage: Bacteria
Description: partial 16S ribosomal RNA
Rfam family: Bacterial small subunit ribosomal RNA
Source: RNAcentral
UACGAGAGGCCCAAACGUUAUUCGGAUUUACUGGGCUUAAAGAGUUCGUAGGCGGCUUGGAAAGUGGGGUGUGAAAGCCCUCGGCUCAACCGAGGAAUUGCGCUCCAAACUACCGAGCUUGAGGAGGCUAGAGGUGAGCAGAACUGAUGGUGGAGCGGUGAAAUGCGUUGAUAUCAUCAGGAAUACCGGAGGCGAAGGCGGCUCACUGGGACCUUUCUGGCGCUGAGGAACGAAAGCUAGGGGAGCAAACGGG